AUAUAUAUAUAUACAUGAUGGGUUUCUGAGAAGUUCCUGGCAUUAAAGGUGUCGCGAAAGACCUGGUUGGAGCCCCAACCUUCUGAGUUCUUUCACAGGGCUUAGAAAAACUGAAGGCCCACUGCAAAUAAGUGUGUGAAUCUGAGAGGGGAAUAUGUUGAGUAA
Long non-coding RNA from Octopus sinensis (East Asian common octopus), 165 nucleotides. RefSeq lists it as uncharacterized. The transcript is spliced from 3 exons. NCBI's taxonomy places the organism in Eukaryota, Metazoa, Mollusca, Cephalopoda, Octopoda, Octopodidae. The record is from RefSeq and is a predicted model, not a curated record.